This 787-nucleotide ribosomal RNA is filed under the name uncultured bacterium. RNAcentral describes it as "bacterial SSU rRNA". It matches the Rfam family "Bacterial small subunit ribosomal RNA", at positions 1 to 749 of the family's 1533-position model. The record is from RNAcentral.
GGGGNNNNCCUUCGCGCGAUCGCCUUGAGUUGAUCAUGGCUCAGAAUCAACGCUGGCGGCGUGCCUCAGACAUGCAAGUCGAACGCGAAAGCUCCCUUCGGGGAGCAAGUAGAGUGGCGCACGGGUGAGUAACACGUAGGUAAUCUACCUUUGGAUGGGGAAUAACAACCGGAAACGGUUGCUAAUACCGCAUAAUGCAGCGGCACCUAAUGGUGACAGUUGUUAAAGCGGGGGAUCGUAAGACCUCGCGUCUGAAGAGGAGCCUGCGGCAGAUUAGCUAGUUGGUAAGGUAACGGCUUACCAAGGCGAUGAUCUGUAGCCGGCCUGAGAGGGCGGUCGGCCACACUGACACUGACAUACGGGUCAGACUCCUACGGGAGGCAGCAGUCGGGAAUUUUGGGCAAUGGGCGAAAGCCUGACCCAGCAACGCCGCGUGAAGGAUGAAAUCCUUCGGGAUGUAAACUUCGCAAGAACAGGAAGAAUAAGUAAGGGUUAAUAUCUCUUACGAUGACGGUACUGUUUGUAAGCUCCGGCUAACUCCGUGCCAGCAGCCGCGGUAAUACGGGGGGAGCAAGCGUUGUUCGGAUUUACUGGGCGUAAAGGGCGCGUAGGCGGCCACCGCAAGUCGACUGUGAAAUCUCCGGGCUUAACCCGGAAAGGUCAGCCGAUACUGCGGGGCUAGAGUGCAGAAGGGGCAACUGGAAUUCUCGGUGUAGCGGUGAAAUGCGUAGAUAUCGAGAGGAACACCUGCGGCGAANGCGGGUUGCUGGGCUGACACUGACGCUGA